UACGAAGGGGACUAGCGUUGUUCGGAAUUACUGGGCGUAAAGCGCGCGUAGGCGGAUCGCUAAGUCAGGGGUGAAAUCCCAGGGCUCAACCCUGGAACUGCCUUUGAUACUGACGAUCUGGAGAUCGGGAGAGGUGAGUGGAAUUCCGAGUGUAGAGGUGAAAUUCGUAGAUAUUCGGAGGAACACCAGAAGCGAAGGCGGCUCACUGGCCCGAUACUGACGCUGAGGCGCGAAAGCGUGGGGGGCAAACAGG
Molecule: ribosomal RNA, 253 nt
Filed under: uncultured bacterium
Lineage: Bacteria
Description: partial 16S ribosomal RNA
Rfam family: Bacterial small subunit ribosomal RNA
Source: RNAcentral